RNAcentral lists this unclassified non-coding RNA (250 nucleotides) under plant metagenome. RNAcentral describes it as "partial contains small subunit ribosomal RNA, internal transcribed spacer 1, and 5.8S ribosomal RNA". The record is from RNAcentral.
GUAGGUGAACCUGCGGAAGGAUCAUUAACACGUUAUCCACGUAUCCACCAACGAGAUGUACGUUUUCAACGCUCUCCUCUGGGAGAAUGAACUGAGCCUUCGUAGAGUUAUUGAAAGGGAUGCUCACGCGUCAGACUCUACUCGCCACUUGCAUCGUCACGGCCAUUGCUGCGUCGGUGCAGACAGUUGUAUUUUCUGGAGGACUCUCGCUCACUAUGUUCGGGUCUCCUUUCAUUGACUUUUUCUGUGA